This 1362-nucleotide ribosomal RNA is filed under the name uncultured Prevotellaceae bacterium. RNAcentral describes it as "bacterial SSU rRNA". It matches the Rfam family "Bacterial small subunit ribosomal RNA", at positions 28 to 1381 of the family's 1533-position model. The record is from RNAcentral. Lineage: Bacteria; Pseudomonadati; Bacteroidota; Bacteroidia; Bacteroidales; Prevotellaceae.
GAUGAACGCUAGCUACAGGCUUAACACAUGCAAGUAGAGGGGCAUCAUCGUAUUGAUUUCGGUCAUUACAGAUGGCGACCUGCGGAUGGGUGAGUAACACGUAUCCAACCUGCCCGUCACCGGAGUAUAGCCUCCCGAAAGGGAAAUUAACACUCCGCGACAUCAUUUCGGGGCAUCCCGUUAUGAUUAAAGUUUUACGGUGUCGGAUGGGGAUGCGUCCCAUUAGAUAGUAGGCGGGGUAACGGCCCACCUAGUCGUCGAUGGGUAGGGGUUCUGAGAGGAAGGUCCCCCACAUUGGAACUGAGACACGGUCCAAACUCCUACGGGGGGCAGCAGUGAGGAAUAUUGGUCAAUGGGCGAGAGCCUGAACCAGCCAGGUAGCGUGCAGGAAGACGGCCCUAUGGGUUGUAAACUGCUUUUAUACGGGAAUAAAGUUUGCCACGUGUGGCAUUUUGCAUGUACCGUAAGAAAAAGGAUCGGCUAAUUCCGUGCCAGCAGCCGCGGUAAUACGGAAGAUCCGAGCGUUAUCCGGAUUUAUUGGGUUUAAAGGGAGCGUAGGCGGGAAUCCAAGUCAGUUGUGAAACCCUGCGGCUCAACCGUAGUCGUGCAGUUGAAACUGGAUUUCUUGAGUGCGCACAGGGCAGACGGAAUUUGUGGUGUAGCGGUGAAAUGCUUAGAUAUCACGAAGAACUCCGAUCGCGAAGGCAGUCUGCCGGGGCGCUACUGACGCUGAGGCUCGAAAGUGCGGGUAUCAAACAGGAUUAGAUACCCUGGUAGUCCGCACUGUAAACGAUGGAUACCCGUGGUCGGUUUUUUUUACUCGGUCACCAAGCGAAAGCGUUAAGUAUCCCACCUGGGGAGUACGCCGGCAACGGUGAAACUCAAAGGAAUUGACGGGGGCCCGCACAAGCGGAGGAACAUGUGGUUUAAUUCGAUGAUACGCGAGGAACCUUACCCGGGCUUGAAUUGCAGAGGAAGUCACCGGAGACGGUGAUGUCUUUAUAGUCUCUGUGAAGGUGCUGCAUGGUUGUCGUCAGCUCGUGCCGUGAGGUGUCGGCUUAAGUGCCAUAACGAGCGCAACCCCUUUUUCCGGUUGCCAUCAGGUGAUGCUGGGCACUCCGGAGACACUGCCAUCGUAAGAUGUGAGGAAGGUGGGGAUGACGUCAAAUCAGCACGGCCCUUACGUCCGGGGCUACACACGUGUUACAAUGGCCGGUACAGAAGGCAGCUCCCACGCGAGUGGUUGCGAAUCCCGAAAGCCGGUCCCAGUUCGGACUGGAGUCUGCAACCCCGACUCCACGAAAGCUGGAUUCGCUAGUAAUCGCGCAUCAGCCAUGGCGCGGUGAAUACGUUCCCGGGCCU